AUACAAAAGAAUAUGUACAAUGGUGGUCUCUCUAUACAUAGGGACAUCACCCUCGGCCGUAGCCCGAGUAGCAAGGUGAUCGACUAGCAUGCUCCUAGCAAUGUCUAGCUAGACGCGACUCCCUUGCCACGAUCCCUAGCCUCACUACAAAAAAUUCAAUAUUUUGUGGAGACUUUUUUGUGGCCAACUAAAUAUCUUCAUUAAAGGUAAACUUUUUGUGGGGAUUUUUAUUUUUUUCCCGCAAAUUUUGUUUGCGAAUAUUUAAAAUUGAAAUAGCGGCGAUUUCUCAAAAAUCGCAGUAAAUACGUUAGCCAUCUAUGUAGAAAUAUAAAAAAUUAUCAUAAAAUGUAUAGAUUAUUUAUUGUGGCGAUUAUGUUUUGUCACAAUAGAGCAUUUGUCAUAUUUUUUAGAAAAUAUAAAUAUUAUCGGUAUUUAUGUGUGGCGAUUUCUGAUGUAUGGCCACAAAAUAAGUUUUUUUUUAUGACAAAAGUUGUAAUUUCGCCAGAAAAAGUAAUAAAAAUUUUUCUUGCCAAUAUUUUUCCCUGCUAUUGAUUACCGCGCCAUUUUUUUCGUCUGGCGCCAAAGAGUCCCAAAUAUUUAGCGAGGAAAUGUAUAUCUUCGUCGCAAAAGGUUCUUUUUUUUUUAUAAAACUUUUUUUAAUUUUGUUAGAAAAAUCUAAUAUGUUGCUAUGCUAAAGUGAACGAAACCCUUUCCCCCACUUUCACCCAAACCCUUUCGCCCAUCGCACGUAUGCCGCCGCGACCUCCGCGACCUCCGCACGUUGGCCGCUCCUCCCUAGUCGCGACCUCCGCACGCCGCGACCUCCACCCCGGCCGGUGAAGCAUCGUGUCGCGACUAUCGCCGCGGUCGACGAAGCCCUAGUGGGAACCUUCGGACGAGGUGGGCCGCAGCUGCGUCGAGGCCGAGCUCGCCGAGGCCCUGCAGACCCUCGAGCCCCAGAAGAAGGACACUAUCCACGCCCUCGACUCCCAGAUCGUCACCCUUAGCCAAUUUGCACGGUACGUUUAUGCACCGGCAUUUAUCCAAUCCUCAUGAAUGGGUGGAAAAGGUUACCGCAGACUUAGAUCUCCCGUCCACUGCUCCUCAUAGGGCAAAGAGUAUAGCCCAAAAUAUAUAAACAAACAGCCAAAUAAAUUAAUAAAGAUUCCCUAGCUUGUUUUAUUUUAUUUGUUACUCUACAGGCUUGUUCUCAAAAAAUUACAAUACAUUUUAAUCAGUUAAUUCUCAAUGUAUCUCUAUGCGUGUUUGAUUUUAAUUUCACAUCCCUCUUGUGGUUUAGCAAGUGAGAUUAACACUCUUUAAAAAGCAGUGUAUAUAUUUCCGGCUUUGUUCCUCUAUAAAGAAUAUUAGGCUAAAGAACGCUAUUAUUUCAAAAUAUGUGGCUGAAGAAUAAAAGCACGUGCUAAUCCAAUCUCUGUGCUAGUUUAAACGUCCUCCACUCCACAAAAGCAGCUGUUUGAUCUGUAGCAGGGUUAGCAGUGCAUCAAUAUCUGUAGUUUAUAUCGUGUUUUCCUCUAUUUUGUAUGUAUGCAAAGUGGCUUUGUCGUUGGGCUUAGUAACCGUUCAAUUAACUGGUACAUACGUGGCAGUGUGAUGGGCUCCAAAUAAGAUCAUGACAGGUUUAAGUUUUCCGACCUCGUCGUAGAGGACAUGAUUGUGAAUCACUGGUGGUGAAUCACAUGUAUAUCCGUCUCUUUAGGCUAGGAAUCUUUGAAGAAUAGAUAGCCAAUUUCUGGUCCUUAGACCAACUCUUUAUCUUUAGAACUUACACUAAACUCGUUGUUGGAACCUACCAGCCCUAUCUUAGAGACUUUGGGUUACAAUGUAGUUAAUAUAGUUUCCGCCUCUUGUUUUGGUUUUGCCUUUUCUUUUCUGUAUUCUAGUCAAUGUAGUGUAUGGUAUUCUACCCAAUUUUUUGUAAUCUCUACUACGAUUAACUCAUUCGAGAUACACUGAUCAUAAUGCACUGCUUCUUCAUGCUAGUCGGUUGAUAUUGAAGCGUCCGGAGAUUUUUAGCUAUCGUCGUAUUUACAGCACUUUAUUAUUUCUUUUAAUGUUUAUUUAAUGAUAUUUCAAUGUUCAGAGUAUUUAUGAGUCCGAAUUUAAACUUCAAAAAAAGGUGUCUAAGUUUCUAAACUUGCGAAAUCUGUAAAUGUAUGUUCUCUGCAAUUUGUGGAAACACAUUUCCUCUUUUCUUUUGUCUAUAAAUUUCUCGAAUUGAAGGUUUCGUUUUUUUAUUUUUUUCCUGAUAGUGUCUAGUAACUAUUCUGGAGAGGGAAAAGGAAAUGGACAACUUUACUCUUGAUGUACUGAUUUUUUUUUUUUUUGGCUAAAAGGUCUUCUGAUUAAUCAUGAUCCUAAAAUUGAGGCAAACUUUGACAGGAAAAUGAUUUUGCAAACCAAUCGAAUGCAGAGGAACAGUAAUUCGAGAACGAGAUUUAGGAGAUUAAUACACAAAUGAGUUUAUUUUCAUGGACUAAUAUAUGAAUUAAAGUGUCUAGUAAAAAUCUUUGAGAUGGAGCUUUAAGAACAUUUUGUCAACAGCUUGAUUUUUUUUGUAAAUUCCACACAUUUUCUGUGACGCACUGGACCUUUGCAAAUUGUGAGGUUCGAGUGUUUGGACAGUGUCCCGAGUUUUUCCAGACUUUCUGGUGGGUCGUUGACAGUGUUCCGACCUAUGGCUCGCAUCCCGAGAAUUGUAGUAUUUUUUAUGUAGCGCUAAGGUCACUAAAGAGUUGGACUUAGGCUACCCUCGGAUUGCAUUUUGCACAAAGUGUACCGGUACACUCUUGAUGGCUGUACCGGUACACACUUUGUACCGGUACACUCUUGAUGGUUGUACCGGUACACUUGUGGCAAAUUGCAAACCCGAGCCUCGGAUUUGCAUUUUCGUAGGAUGUGUACCGGUACACUUUCCCGUGUACCGGUACACUUUGGCAGAAUCUGAGCAGUUUGAACUGCAGCGGUUUUUUCGCAAUUGUGGCAUCUCUAUUAGUACCCCCACGCCCUUAGGGCUUUCUCCUGAGCUUGCCACAGCAAGGAUAGAGGUAAGGGAGCUCUCCUUGUUUCUCCUUUGGAUUUCUUUGGAUUUUGGUGGGAUUUAAAGAGAUUAAAGCUUCUCUUUUGCUUGUUAGAGGCAUUUCCACCAUUGUUGAGGCUUGGAGCUUGGGUUUGGAGCAAAGUUGAGGGAAGAUCUUGGGAUUUCAAGAGUUUAGAGCUUAGAUUGAAGCUUCUAAGAGGUAACCCACUUAUUCUCUCCCUUUAGAUUGGAUUUUUAUUGAUGGAUUCAAGAUGAAACCCUAGUUUUGAGACUUAGGGCUUGUUUUUGGGCUUUUUGAACCUAGGGCUUUUGAGGCUUGAUUGGUUGGUUUAGAACCUUCCUAGGGCUUGGAUUGGAAGGGUUCUAGCUCUCUUUUGGAGCUUAGGAGAAGAUUUCUACUCUUGAGGUGAGUUUUGGCCCUUUUGCUUCUAGGUUAAAGAUUGAGCUUAUUGCUCUUCGUAUCGAUUGGAUGACACCAUUUUUGAUGUUCCUAGGGUGCUAGAAAGCUUGUGGAAAUCUCCGUUCGGCGAAACGAAAGUUUCGAUUUUGGUGGGUUUGACCUAGCCUUUGAUAUGAGAAAAUCUCAUAUUUGGUGAUAAGUGCUUCGUGUACUAAUAACUCAUGCAUUUUCAUAUUGAAUGUAUUUAUUAUGAAUUUUAGAGUGCUUAAAAUGCCCAUGCUAUAUGUAAUGAAAUUUGGACCUCUAUGUAGUAGAGAGUUGCUUGAGAGAGAGUUGGUUGCAUUUAGCAUUCUGUAUGAGUUUUGGUUUCAUGUUUCUAUAGAGUAAAUGAGCUAUGAUUCAUGCGUUUAAACAUAAGUUUAAUUGAGACAUGAAAGAUGACAAUUGCUAUAUAUAUAGGCAUCGAACUUGAUAUCAUGUGAAUUAGAGAGCUAAUGUCAUCAAGCGGCAUUGAGCUCAGGACAUGUGUGAACCUAGUGGAUAGGGCCAUUGAGGGAUUUGGAAAACAUGUUGAACAUCAAAUUGCCUAAGUGUCAUCAAGGGGCACUAGGCGUAGCAAAUGCUAAAACUUCACAUUGUGACUUAGACUAGAUCUUCGGGAUGCUAGUUAUGAUACCAUGUUAGAGACAUGAGGAUUGGAUAUUUGAGACUUGGACUAUGCUUGCUUGCCAUUUGUGCUCAUUCGCACAUGCUUGUGAGGGUCGCUCCCUACAAGCCGGCACUCCGGAGUUAGCCUACGCGACUUUUGUUCGCUCGUGCGGUAUUGAGAAGCCUACGGGGUCGAGUGGGACAGACACAUUCCAAGAGUAGGGAUGUCGGGCUACCACAGGCACUUAGGCGGCACAAGCUGGACUACCUUUGGUAGGUCCUUAAUUGGAAAUGGAAAUCGACACGGUGUUGAAUAUGAACAAUCACUACUAGAUAGGAUUAGUAGUUGGAUUACUUGGACACGCUUAUGAUAUAGCAUUGGUACAUUUAGUAUACUUGCCGGUUUCAUUAUUGCAUCGUAGUAUACUCGGUUGUUUGGAUAGAGUUUACCCUUAUGCAUUGACAUAUUGCAUCGUGAGGUUUACUUGUUUAUUAUGUUGAGACAUAUUAGUAUGCAUUGGACAUAUUAUCUUAUGAUAGCGUAGAUGUACAUCACCAUGGCAUCAUGCUUACUUGAGACAUAUAGGUUAGCACUUCAAUUAUGCUUUCUUACUGUUGUUACUGUUAUCCUUAUUGUUGUUUAUUAUACUUACUCCUUUUCUUUUGGGGCCUAGUGGUGCGAUGAGCUGAGGUCAGUAAUUGCCCACUGGGAACUAUAAAUUAUAGUUCUCAUGCCCUCUUUUUCUCAAUGUUUUACAGAGCCUUCCACUCAAGGUGAGGCCAGGGAUCGCGGGAAGGGAGUUGCUUCGAGCUAGCUUCCUUCGAGGACGAGUUGCUAGGCGGUCUACCUCUCGAUUUUUAUUUCUUUUUGCGAAAGGUUGAGAGUUCUACCAGUGUACUAGAGACCACCGUUUUUGUACUUUUGAGACGGAUAUUGUACUACUCAUGAAUUCUUUUAUUGUCUAGCUUUACUUCUUUACCUUGGUGUAGAUGUUAGAACUUUACUCGCUCUGAUAUCAUUAGCUGCUCAUUAUUUCACUUCUUCUAUUUGUUCUAUUACUUGCUUUUACUUCCGCUUUUAUUGUAGACGCCUUAUAUGUGUAGACAUAUGGCGGGUCUGGGCACGCUACCGGGAGGGCCUCCGCCUGUCCCGGGGCGUGACAUUUUCAAUAGUUUUAACAAUCUCAUUGCGCCCUUUCUCAAUUACUUACUGCAAUAGGGAAAAAAAAAUCUUAUAUAAGGAAUGAAUUUGAUAGAGAAUGAUUCAGAAAUAAUUUGAUAUGAAAUUCUUCAUGUUAAUAUAUAGCAAAUCUUCUUUUCUUUUCUUUUUUUGUUUUUCCUGCUUUGAAGCUAUUUUUAUUCUAUUUUGCUGGCAUGCAACUUCUGUUAGGCAGCAGCUCGAGGAGUAGCAGCUCGAGGAGCAGAGGGCGUCGAUCGCCGCGGUCGACGAAGCCCUAGCGGCGGAGCCCGCGAACGCCUAGCUCCUCGCGGUAUGUUCCUCAUCCCUCCUGAAAUUCUAGGGUUUGAUCAUUCCUUUCCUUGGAUUGCAAUCAUAGAUUGGUUUUCUCUUCAAUCUGUUCGGGAAUGGCGUGGCUGAUCAAAGAUUUGGGCACACUUGUGUGUACUAUGAUUAGAUUUGGGGCGCGAUUGGCACUGAUGAUGUAGGGUUUAGUUUUAAGAGAUGAAUUGCUAUUUGAGUAGUUUGAUAAGCAGAGAUAUUGUACUGUUAAUCCCAAAAUAACUUCUCUAUGCAUCAGAACCACUUUAUUUGUGCUUCCCACUAUAGUAGAAGGUCUAAACUUUUCUGUUUUUCCAAUGCUCUUAAUCAGAUGCAAGAAAUGGAAAUUUUGUCAUUUGAUUCUACACUUUCCUCUAUUAUGAAGGAACUUAGGAUUCUUAUGUGAUUGAAGUUUUGAAGGAAAAAUGAUGUUAAAAGAAUAAUAAUUAAUAUCAAUUUAGCGAUAUGGGCCUAAAUCCUUUCUCUAUUUUGAAUUUAUAUGUCUAUUUGAAUUUAAAUAAGUGAUAUUUUGCGAUGAUCUGUACAAGUUAUUAGCUUAAUUUAGAAUUCGGUAUGUAAUUACUAAGAAGGGAAGGAGUGCAGGCGAAUUAAGCAAGCGACCGAUAGCAUAAAUCUCACUUAGGACAAUUAAUUGGACAUAUCCAUCAUACUUAGGAGCAGAUUACUAUGAAUAUUUGUUGUGCUAGCUCAAUUGAGCAUUGACUUUUUCUUAGCUUUAUCCAGUUAUAUCCUAAUUGAGUAUACUUUUGUAUUGGAUGUACUUAUUAGCUUAAUGUGGCAUGUGACAUGCACUUAAACAUUAAUGCUAUUACAUAUCUAAGUUUCCUGAAUGAGACCAAAUAACAGUUUAUUAUGUGUUUUAGACUAAAUAAGGGCUCACUCAUAUAUGAUUUAAACCAUAUUGUUGCUAGAUGAUCAAUUAGUUGUUUUUAAUUAGGACAAUGCUAUUUAUCCUUUAAAAAUUCAUAAAGUUUUGAAAUAUACAGUUUUUUUAAAUUUGAAUUAUUGUUGAAAAUUUCUAUUUCCUUCUUGUGUUCAUAAGAUUAUAUAAAAGUUCCAACUGAGACUAAUAAAUUGGAUUCUAAGUAAAAUAUAUAUUUGAUUAUAUAUUUUCUGUAUUUGUUCUGUACUUUUUUUAACAUUAUUUUAUAAGAGUUUUAACUACUUUUCGAUUAUAGGAACUAACAAUCGACACUCAAAUUUGACUCGGUUUGCAACCAAACUAAAGUUCAACCUAACUUGGUAAAUUUUUCCCUUUCCUUUUCCCUUUAUUUUCUUGUAUUUAUCUUAUUUUGAUUGUGUUUUUGUUUUGUAUCUUCAUAUCUAUAUCAGUUAGGUUCAUUUAUACAUGAUACAAUCAUAUUGAUCUAUUUGUUUGUUUGUUGUCUAUGCAGAAUUUAACUUUUAUUUUUUUCUUUUAUUGGUGGUUUAUUAUAUCAUUUCAUAUAUUUUGCAUCCUACUAUAUUNCUUUUAUUUUUUUCUUUUAUUGGUGGUUUAUUAUAUCAUUUCAUAUAUUUUGCAUCCUACUAUUUGAUCUUAUGUAAAGUGAAUAAAAUUCUAGUUAUUAUGUAAAGUAUUAGUUAAUAUUAUUUUCUUUUUUUUUAUUUGAAAUGCAGCAUAUAAAUUUCUAUUUGUGCCUUUGCUUUCUUGCUCUUGUAUUAAUUGGAUAAGGCAAAGUUUAUAGGAGUUUCGUCCCUAAGCUCAACUUCUUUUGUGCGGUAGUCGGUUCAUUGACCAUCGCUGUCAUGAUGCUUAUGCUUGUUUCUUCUCUUUAUCAAUAACUUUUAUGAUUUUUUUUUAAGUUAUUUAAUCAAAAUAUUUCAUCCGUAGGCCCCCACACCAAAAACCCAUUAAUACAUAUACUAUUUUGAUCCCCAAGAAACCUGGGGCAUGAGCCCUUUUUGUUAAAGCACAAGCUGGGAUCAAACUCCCAACAUCUAGGACGGCAACCUUGUUAACAACUACUAGGCUAGGCCAACUGUUAACUAAUUCAUGAUUCGUUGCAGAGUUUUCUCCUAAAUAGGCCAUUUACUUAGUGCCUAUAACCAAACACUCAAACAGUUGAUGUUGAUUGGUGUUAUAGAUUGUUGAUGUUGAUUUGUUUUACAUAUGACUCUAUAUGACUUAAUACUUUACAAUUGCUUUGUGUAUUCUUUUUAUUUAUAAGUCAUUAUGGGUCAUAUUUUAGUAUUUGAAAGCAAUACUAAGUAAAUUUUUUUAAUUGUACAGGAAUACGCAAGACCAAUCGACUUUUGGAGAAUAUUUUAAUUGUGCAGGAAUAGGCAAGACAAAGCGACUUUUGCAGGAUUAAGUUUCUUCGGGUCCAUUUAUUUUUGUUUAGAGAUUUCGAAAUAGGCAUGACUAGAAAACUGCUUAUUUUAAAGAUGCAUAUGACAUCGAUCUUUAUGUUUUAAAAGUUAUUACUUGAUGUGAAUUUGUUAUGACGUAUAUUUGAUCUUGUAGUUGCUAGAGAAAUGUUUUGUAUAGACUGUUAUAUUUUGGAUAUGUACAAUGCAUCUUACAUGUAUGGUUUAAAAUCUGGCUAAUACAAGUUAUGUUCUUUUGUAUUUUCUUGUUAUUUAUAUAAUGCUCUUGUAUAAAAAGUCUAAUGUUUAAUUCAAUGUAUCUUAUAACACAUACUUUUUGUGAGGAAUUUGAGAAAAUGGCUACAAAAGAUCGACAUUAACACAUUGCCACAGUACUAAUAACUUUUUGUGAUAAAAUAUAAAGUUUGGACACAAAUAUGCACCAUUUUGUUACGAUUUUUUUAAGAUUCCUCACAAAAAGUCAUUUAACUAUUAAAAAAUAAUACUUAUAUUUUAAUGCAGAAUUAUUGUGGACAUAAAUGAUAUGAAAUACUGUUGUGACGAUCUAAAUGGCUACAAAAGUUUAAAAUAUUUUAUGGCGAUUUAUUUUCUCCGUUAAUAACUGUUAUUUUACAAUAUGUAAAAUAGUAUCUGUGACGAACAUUUUCGUCACAAAUAACAACUUAUUUUGUGGCGAAAGUUAUUUCCUCACAAUAAUUACUGUUUUUUACAAUAUGUGGAACAGUAUCUGUGACGAACAUUUUCGUCACAAAUAAUAAAUUGUUUUGUGGCGAAAGUUUUUUCCUCACAAUAAUUUUUAACAGCAGGGUUAUUAUGGCGACGCUGUGGCGGAAUAAAUUUGGCCACAAAAAUAUUUUUGUGGCGAAACAUGGACUUUUUGUGGCGAAAAUUUGCUCAACAAAACAAUAGUUUUCUUGUAGUGCCUCUCCUGUAGAUGGCUCUGUAAAAAACAUCAAUAAAAAGGGCGUGAGAACUAUUAACAAUAGUUUCCAGUGGGUAAGCCGCCAGCCUCGGCGAAUUACACCACUAGGCUCAUGAUGUACUAAAUGAAAGCGAAAGCAGUAAUUGCAUGACAUAUAAUUAUGCAAUGUUAACCGGUAAUGGGCAUGUAACCAACAUGUAAUCAUAGUCUCAACAGUAAUGUAUCAACUGAAUAAUAGAAGCAUAGCAACUAUGAUAAGCAUGAACAUAAUCAUAAAUGUGUAAGUAACUACUGUACACUGUAACUGGUAAUCAUUCAUUACGGUCCACUUUUCUUUAGUACUUUCCUUUCAUUCACAGGGAUCUACUCAAGGUAGUCCGGCUUGCGCCACACCUAAUGGCCCUGUGGUAGUGUACACUCCCCACGGCAAUCCACUUCGGCACCCAAUCCCGCACGGGCGAGCAACUGUCACGUAGGCCAACUCCGGAGUGCCGGCUUGUAGGGAGCGACCCUCAGAAGCGUGUGCGAAUGAGCACGAUGGCAAGCAAGCAAAUCUAAAGCUCAAUAUGUCUCAAUCAUC
Molecule: long non-coding RNA, 9458 nt
Filed under: Ananas comosus (pineapple)
Lineage: Eukaryota; Viridiplantae; Streptophyta; Magnoliopsida; Poales; Bromeliaceae
Description: long non-coding RNA (ACOM_LNC037946)
Source: RNAcentral